CCCACAUUUCUACCUGCACCUCUCGCACCAAAUGGGAGCUGCCCAGGUAAUUGCGCCACACCCAAACCUCCUGCACCAACCCUGAGCCCCCUCCCUCAUUCUAGCUCCUGGCCAGACCCUGCACCCCAACCCUCAGCCUGCUCCUUCACCCCCAGCCCUGUACUCAGCACACUCCCACCCUCAUCUCAGUGCAGAGAGAGGAAGAGAAUGGCUAGAACCAGGGAGAAGGGUUUUUCCUGCCCAGGUCCUAUUGGAGAGAAAAGGAAAAAACAAACAAACUGCAGAGAUAAUGGAAGAAGGAGGCACGUCUCAGGGCCCUGUUUCACCCCGGGGUGUUCGCUACUUCCCAACACGGAUGUAAUGAGGUUAAGUGGUGUCCGUAUAAAAUAAGUAAGAACUACUAACUAUUCCUCAAGAAAGGCUUUUAAUGAUUUUUGACUAUAAUAACAGCAUAAACAAAACAGAAAAAGGAAUACCAAAGACCAGCACUGAAUAAGAAUUAAUACAAAAGGCAGAUUAUAUUGAAGAAAAAUGCAAGUACAUGUAAUAUUGUGGAUCAUUUGCGAGUUCCAGCUCUAUAUUCCUGGUGACAAACUAUUUCAAAGGCACAUAAAGCUGAUGAACGACAGCGCUACAUGCAUCCACUCGGACUACUUAAAAGACAAGCACAAAUACAAGUAAAGCUAUUAUGCAUCAGCCACCUACUAUUGAUUUUAUGCUACAGUAUCAAUACAACUAUGAUCAAUUCGGCUCGAGCGACCAGACUUCUUUUACUCCAUAGACUUACCCUGCAUUUGUUUGAAAAUACGUUACCCUUCAGUCAUCCGCUUUCCGCACUGGCCAGAUGAAAUAUGUUAGAAACCAUAUUGGAAAAGCUCAGCUACAGGUGCCAGCAACUACAGUAGUCUGCCAUGAGCUUCAUAACAUCAUUGAGGACCUCGCCGAUUUCUGAGAAGGACUGAGCUUGACAGUUGCAGCAGAUGUCAUCAGCAAAGAUAAACUUGUGUGAGAGUCUUGCUAGCAAGUUGUUGAUGUACACAUUGAACAGUAUUGGUGAAAGAACUGAAUCUUGAGGAAGACUGUUAAUCUGACACUUCCAGGAACAAAACGGUCACCCGUGUGUACUCUGAACCACCUCUUUUGGAGAAAGAGCUCUACUACUUCAACUACCCAACACAGGGCAACUCAAGAGAGUUUACACAGAAGGCCUCUGUACCAGACUGUGUCAUAAGCAGUAGUCAAAUCCAGGAAGACAGCUCCCAUCUUAUGGUUUUCAACAAACAUCUAUUUUGAUAAAAGUGGUCAAGGCCAAGACUUGAUCACAGGUGCUACGUCCUUUCCUGAAACCUGACUGCUCAACCCUCUCUCAAAUGGGGAUAAUAGCACUGCCCUUUCUUACAGGGGUGUUAUGGGGAUAAAUACAUUAAAAUUUGUGAGGUGGUCAGACACUAUGACCAUGACUAUACUAAGCGGACUAUAGUGACAUAACUACAGUGCCAUAGCUAUGCUGACAUAAUCCUCUUGUGCAGAUGCAGCCUACAAAAGUGGGUUUUCCAUUGCUGUAGGGACACCAUUUCCCUGACUGAUGGUAGCAUUCUUUUGUUGCCCUACCUGCAUCUACGUGUGGGAUUAGGUCAGCAUAGCUAUGUUACACCGGGUGUGGAUUUCACAUUUUAGAGCAUCGUAGCUUUGUCAACCUAAUUUUUGUGUCGACAAAGCCUAUUGUAAUGGUGACCAUAUAAGUACCUUUUUAAAUAUGGUAAUUAACCAGUUCUAGAUGUUUUCAAUAAACUUUGGAACUUGCUCCUGGACAACCAUGACUACAUUGAUAGUUUUGGUCUCUUGCUGUAAAAUGUACAUAGGAACCUACUAUUUAUUUUUCACAAAAUAUAAUAGAAAAUCGUUUUUCCUAUAAAAUGUCUCCAAAUACCUGAUGAUUGAUAGCAAUUUAUAAAAGAACAUUUUGUUCAAGUGGGAAAUAAGCAACACAAAAUAGUAUUUUUGUGGCUUUAAUUAUUGAUGAGGCUCAUUGCCUUAACAACAGCAUUGACAAGGAGAAUGAGCAAAAACUUCACACUUGGGACAUAGUCCUUCAAUCCUUUCCCAAGUUAAAAAAUAAAUAAAUAAAAAAUCAUGAUUCACUGGUAGUUUUGCUGCAUUGAACUGCAGGAAUCAGUCCUUUAUAUGAACUUUAGCUCCCUCCCCAAUUUUGGGCCCCAGAUUAGCCUGUACCAGUGUUGCUACCUUUCCAACUUUGUUUCCAAAGAUUUUUUUUUUUUAAUAACAAAAGUCAUUAUGGCCCACAUCCUCAAAGAUAUUUAGCUGCCUAACUCCCAUACAUUCAUUUCAAUGAGAGUUAGUUGCCUAAAUACCUUUGAGGAUCUGGGCCUUUGUGACUAGUUUCUGGAUUUUGGUUGUAUGAAAAUAACCGAACAGGUUAUAUUGCCAGAAGAAGCUGUUAUCCCUAAUGGUAUGUGGGGAUGGGGAGGGUGGAGGAUGUCUUACAGCAGGCAUGGUGGCAGGCUAUAAAAUAAGUCUAUGAUUACUGCUAAGGAAAUAAAUCAUAACAAAUUUACCUGGUUAA
Caretta caretta (loggerhead turtle) is the source of this 2584-nucleotide long non-coding RNA. RefSeq lists it as uncharacterized. The record is from RefSeq and is a predicted model, not a curated record. NCBI's taxonomy places the organism in Eukaryota, Metazoa, Chordata, Testudines, Cheloniidae.